AGGGAAAGUUGCAAAGGACUUUGAAAAGAGAGUUCAAGAGAACGUGAAAACAAUAAUGUGGAAGCGGAGAGAGUUGUCAAAUAUGGGUUGUUAAGUUGAUUGGGAGCCCUUCAGGGGAUACCGUAGGAUGGCGCCGCGUAAGAUGCGCUGGUAGCGUCAGAUGUGAUUGCAGACCCGGUAUGUGUUGCCCACUUCGGUGGUGUCUUGCUGGCGGUUAGGUAGAUCAGGUCAGACGUCUAGCUUUGUAAGCAGAGUACCGGUGUUAACGACAAUCACCUCUCGGGCCAGUUACGAUACUCGGUCCGAGGAGUGUAACGGGCGGGAGAGUCGGAGGUUGGUAAACCCAACGGUGUAA
RNAcentral lists this ribosomal RNA (355 nucleotides) under Metarhabditis amsactae. RNAcentral's name for it is "partial large subunit ribosomal RNA". It matches the Rfam family "Eukaryotic large subunit ribosomal RNA", at positions 356 to 719 of the family's 3401-position model. The record is from RNAcentral. Lineage: Eukaryota; Metazoa; Nematoda; Chromadorea; Rhabditida; Rhabditidae.